GGUCAAGCUACAAAGAGCUCACGGCGGAUACCUUGGCACACAGAGGCGAUGAAGGACGUGGUUACCUGCGAUAAGUCUCGGGGAGCUGGAAACACGCUUUGAUCCGGGAAUUUCCGAAUGGGGCAACCCCUAGAACGGCCAGCUGAAUCCAUAGGCUGGCGCGAGCCAACCCAGCGAACUGAAACAUCUUGAGAAGAA
Molecule: ribosomal RNA, 198 nt
Filed under: Synechococcus sp. RCC320
Lineage: Bacteria; Bacillati; Cyanobacteriota; Cyanophyceae; Synechococcales; Synechococcaceae
Description: partial 23S ribosomal RNA
Rfam family: Bacterial large subunit ribosomal RNA
Source: RNAcentral